CCGUGGGGCCUUCGGCCCCGCCAAAGGUAGCACCCUUUGUCCACGAGCACCCUUCGUUUCCUCGGCGGGCUCGCCCGCCUAGAGGACCAUCAGAAACCCUUUGCAGUAGCAGUAUCCUCAGUAAAAACAAAUAUUA
RNAcentral lists this unclassified non-coding RNA (136 nucleotides) under uncultured Sordariales. RNAcentral describes it as "sequence contains ITS1". Lineage: Eukaryota; Fungi; Ascomycota; Sordariomycetes; Sordariales. The record is from RNAcentral.